Molecule: transfer RNA, 64 nt
Filed under: Dipodomys ordii (Ord's kangaroo rat)
Lineage: Eukaryota; Metazoa; Chordata; Mammalia; Rodentia; Heteromyidae
Rfam family: tRNA
About the family: Transfer RNA (tRNA) molecules are approximately 80 nucleotides in length. Their secondary structure includes four short double-helical elements and three loops (D, anti-codon, and T loops). Further hydrogen bonds mediate the characteristic L-shaped molecular structure. tRNAs have two regions of fundamental functional importance: the anti-codon, which is responsible for specific mRNA codon recognition, and the 3' end, to which the tRNAs corresponding amino acid is attached (by aminoacyl-tRNA synthetases). tRNAs cope with the degeneracy of the genetic code in two manners: having more than one tRNA (with a specific anti-codon) for a particular amino acid; and 'wobble' base-pairing, i.e. permitting non-standard base-pairing at the 3rd anti-codon position.
Source: Rfam by way of RNAcentral
GGUGGCUCAGUGGUAGAGCGUUUGCCUUGCAUGCAUAGGCCCUGGGUUCGAUUCCCCAGCACCA